AUUUAGGUAGCUUAAAUUAAAGCACAUUUCUGAAGAAAAUGACAUGGAUUUUCCCCUAAAUA
This 62-nucleotide transfer RNA is filed under the name Amynthas moniliatus. RNAcentral's name for it is "tRNA-Phe". The record is from RNAcentral. Lineage: Eukaryota; Metazoa; Annelida; Clitellata; Crassiclitellata; Megascolecidae.